AUGUGCCACGCGUAAACUCCGGUUCUGAGCGCGCCGCCCGUCCUCACCUGACGACCGCUCGCUACGUUUUGUCAGCC
RNAcentral lists this small RNA (77 nucleotides) under Xanthomonas arboricola pv. populi. Its description in RNAcentral is "sX9 sRNA". It matches the Rfam family "Xanthomonas sRNA sX9". The record is from RNAcentral. Lineage: Bacteria; Pseudomonadati; Pseudomonadota; Gammaproteobacteria; Lysobacterales; Lysobacteraceae.